RNAcentral lists this small nucleolar RNA (107 nucleotides) under Morus notabilis. Its description in RNAcentral is "Plant small nucleolar RNA R71". It matches the Rfam family "Plant small nucleolar RNA R71". From Rfam's summary of the family: R71 is a member of the C/D box family of snoRNAs containing the C (UGAUGA) and D (CUGA) box motifs. Multiple nearly identical copies of this snoRNA have been identified in Arabidopsis, and it is thought to function as a 2'-O-ribose methylation guide for 18S ribosomal RNA. Lineage: Eukaryota; Viridiplantae; Streptophyta; Magnoliopsida; Rosales; Moraceae. The record is from Rfam by way of RNAcentral.
UAACCAUGGUGGGGACACUGAUUUAACAGAUCCUUAAACCGUUCCCAAACUUAAUAUAGAAUUUUAUUGUCCUUUUAGGUAAAGGUCGAGAUCUGUCACUUCAGACC